CCGUAACUAUAACGGUCCUAAGGUAGCGAAAUUCCUUGUCGGGUAAGUUCCGACCCGCACGAAAGGCGUAACGAUUUGGGCACUGUCUCAACGAGAGACUCGGUGAAGUUUUAGUACCUGUGAAGAUGCAGGUUACCCGCGACUAGACGGAAAGACCCCAUGGAGCUUUACUGUAGCUUGAUAUUGGACUUUGAUGCAAGAUGUACAGGAUAGGUAGGAGACUGAGAGACAUGCACGCCAGUGUGUGAGGAGUCAAUGUUGGGAUACUACUCUUCUUGUAUUGGAGUUCUAACCGGAUGCCAUGGAACUGGCAACGGGACAGUGUCAGGUGGGCAGUUUGACUGGGGCGGUCGCCUCCCAAAGAGUAACGGAGGCGCCCAAAGAUACCCUCAGCUUGGAUGGAAAUCAAGCGCAGAGUGCAAAGGCAUAAGGGUGUUUGACUGCGAGACCUACAAGUCGAGCAGGGACGAAAGUCGGGCUUAGUGAUCCGGUGGUUCCGCAUGGAAGGGCCAUCGCUCAACGGAUAAAAGCUACCCUGGGGAUAACAGGCUUAUCUCCCCCAAGAGUCCACAUCGACGGGGAGGUUUGGCACCUCGAUGUCGGCUCAUCGCAUCCUGGAGCUGAAGUCGGUUCCAAGGGUUGGGCUGUUCGCCCAUUAAAGCGGUACGCGAGCUGGGUUCAGAACGUCGUGAGACAGUUCGGUCCCUAUCCGUCGCGGGCGUUGGAAAUUUGAGAGGAGCUGUCCUUAGUACGAGAGGACCGGGAUGGACUUACCGCUGGUGUACCAGUUGUUCUGCCAAGGGCAUUGCUGGGUAGCUAUGUAGGGAAGGGAUAAACGCUGAAAGCAUCUAAGUGUGAAGCCCACCUCAAGAUGAGAUUUCCCAUUUCUUUAAGAAAGUAAGACCCCUGAGAGAUGAUCAGGUAGAUAGGUUGGAAGUGGAAGGCUAGUGAUAGUUGGAGCGGACCAAUACUAAUCGGUCGAGGACUUAACCAA
Molecule: ribosomal RNA, 994 nt
Filed under: human gut metagenome
Description: bacterial LSU rRNA
Rfam family: Bacterial large subunit ribosomal RNA
Source: RNAcentral